Molecule: unclassified non-coding RNA, 240 nt
Filed under: soil metagenome
Description: partial contains 5.8S ribosomal RNA, internal transcribed spacer 2, and large subunit ribosomal RNA
Source: RNAcentral
AACCUAGCACACCUGCGGUGUGUACCUGCGGAGGGAUCAUUAACCUUUCAAAUCAGGGUGCGGCGCGGCCCCCGAGGAGCGGAAACAAUCCUUGGGAGGUAUGCGGGGCUUCGAGCCCCCCAUUUACGCACGCACGACUGCCAUCCUUACUUUACGAGCACCUUCUGUUCUCCCUCGGCGGGGCAACCUGCCGUUGGAACCGAAUAAACUCUUUUUGCAUCUAGCAUUACCUGUUCCGAA